Molecule: ribosomal RNA, 312 nt
Filed under: uncultured eukaryote
Lineage: Eukaryota
Description: partial 18S ribosomal RNA
Rfam family: Eukaryotic small subunit ribosomal RNA
Source: RNAcentral
CCCCUAGAUGUCCUGGGCCGCACGCGCAAUACAAUGUAAAGUUCAGAAAGCAUAUCCUGUUCCGGAAGGCAAUGGGUAAUCUUUUCAAUAUUUUACGUGUUAGGGAUCGAUCUUUGCAAUUAUAGAUCUUGAACGAGGAAUACCUAGUAAGUGCAGCUCAUCAGGCUGUACUGAUUACGUCACUGCCCUUUGUACACACCGCCCGUCGCUCCUACCGAUUUCGAGUGGUCCGGUGAAUCUUUUGGAAUUAGAGUGCAAACUCAAACUAAGAUCGAUAAACCUUAUCACUUAGAGGAAGGAGAAGUCGUAACA